Molecule: long non-coding RNA, 275 nt
Filed under: Equus caballus (horse)
Lineage: Eukaryota; Metazoa; Chordata; Mammalia; Perissodactyla; Equidae
Description: lncRNA (ENSECAG00000050179.1)
Source: RNAcentral
AAAGCUCUGGCUGCAUCCGAGCGGGGUGCUUACCCGAAGGAAGUGCUGGGAGCUAGAGGGAGGCAGGAGGGGAAGGAGUGCUUGGUGGCAGACCCCACUGUCUGCUCUCGGAAAUGGGAGUCGGAGCAAGCCACCCUGAGCUGAUAACGAAGCCUCUCCUCCUGCCUCCGUCACUGGGCUGGCCCUGCGCUGGGUGCCAGGAUUGCUUCGGGGCGCAGAGCCUCGCCAGCAGGAGCAGCGCCUAAGAUGAUAUUUCAGUGGAGAGUCCUUUCAAA